GUUGCCUAACGACCUUCCGCGCGGACGGUGGGCAGGCGACGGCGGCGUGUGGAUGGAGGCCUUCGCCCUUGGCCCAGCGCGGCGGGGCAGGCGGCGGACCCGGGCCGCCGGCUCCCUGCUCUCUCGGGCCGCCAUCCUCCUCUUUAUCUCCGCCUUCCUGGUGCGGGUGCCCUCAUCAGUUGGACACUUGGUUCGAUUACCAAGAGCUUUUCGCUUGACCAAAGAUUCAGUGAAAAUAGUGGGAUCAACAAGUUUUCCAGUGAAAGCGUAUGUCAUGCUCCAUCAAAAGAGUCCACACGUGUUAUGUGUAACGCAACAACUGCGAAAUGCUGAACUGAUAGACCCAUCAUUCCAAUGGUAUGGGCCUAAAGGAAAAGUUGUUUCAGUAGAAAACCGCACUGCACAAAUAACAUCCACAGGAAGCCUUGUAUUCCAAAAUUUUGAGGAGAGUAUGAGUGGAAUUUAUACAUGUUUCCUCGAAUAUAAACCUACUGUGGAAGAAAUUGUUAAACGUCUUCAACUAAAAUAUGCUAUAUAUGCUUAUCGUGAGCCUCAUUAUUAUUAUCAGUUCACAGCUCGAUAUCAUGCAGCUCCCUGCAAUAGCAUUUAUAAUAUUUCUUUUGAGAAGAAACUUCUUCAGAUUUUAAGCAAACUGCUUCUUGACCUUUCAUGUGAAAUUUCCUUACUUAAGUCUGAAUGCCAUCGCGUUAAAAUGCAAAGAGCUGGUUUGCAAAAUGAAUUGUUCUUUGCAUUUUCAGUUUCAUCUCUAGACACUGAAAAAGGACCCAAGCGAUGUACAGACCAUAACUGUGAACCUUACAAAAGACUUUUUAAGGCUAAAAAUCUCAUAGAGAGAUUUUUUAAUCAACAAGUAGAAAUUCUUGGCAGACGUGCAGAACAAUUACCUCAAAUAUACUAUAUUGAAGGUACUCUCCAAAUGGUUUGGAUUAAUCGCUGCUUUCCAGGAUAUGGAAUGAAUGUCCAGCAACAUCCAAAAUGUCCUGAGUGCUGUGUAGUUGGGACUUCCACUAUGAUGUUGAAAGGAAAUGAAGAAAGGAGACAGCCUUAUUUUGUUCCUAAUCCUGGUGGGAAAGCUUCAAGUUUCUCAACAGACCUCCUGCAGAGCCCCUGUCCAUCUCCUUGUGCCUAAGCUACCACUCCUUCCAUAGUUCCAGGAAUACUUGGCUUAUAAGGAUGCCACAGGAAGACAGGAGGCCUCUUACACUGGAUGUGAAGCUAUGUCAUGGCACUGGCCAGUUUUGUUCAUCUUGGACUCACCAAUGGAACUGGCAGAUGGCAGAUGUCAAAAAUGUCCCACAGGGCUGGAGCCCUGCAUGUAGUUCUGGGAGCAGCAACAGUGGACAGCUGUUAAGAGACCAGAUCACAGAAGUGCAGGUAAAGACCUAUGUUUGUUGUUGUUAUUGUUUUAGUCCAUCAAAUUUCUUUCCAUAUUUACCACAGAGGAAGUGGCGACAUGCAGGUUGGAGCAACAGUCUUGGGGGCGACUCUUUGCACCAAAUGGAGUGAUGGAAAGGUAUUGGAAAUGGGGUGGAUUCAUAUCUUAGUAAGUCUGGUUGGCUCUAUUGACUUGCUUAGAUCCUUGGGAUAGUUAUCUCUAAAGAAGCAAUGUGAUAUCAUCCAAAAAAAGCAAUGUUUAUUUUUGAAGCUGCCUGAAAUACUUUUUGGAAAGCAGGACAACAUGGAUAACUUCCAUGGACUGGAGCCGUCUUUUAUCAUGACUGUACCAAGGAAGCAUUUAGAACAAAAUAUCCACAGGGGCAGGUGUCAAAGACUCAUUAGUGAAAACUCUCCAGUGAUGAAUAUGUAAGAUGAGAAACGUGUGGGUGUGCACACGCACUCACACUAACUCACUCGCUCUUCCUUCCUGCAUUGCUGUUUGUUUGCCACUCCCACAUCACAAGGUUCUAUAUCUGUGGCCAUAGAGACAGGGGAAACUUACCCUGUCAUUCUGAUGUCUGUUUUGUACUGGGAAGUGCUCUUGGGUUUAAUUUUGUUACAAUGUCAAGGUCUUUUAUUAGGAAUUAUAAUUUGCUUCUGAAGUAUCACCGAAGGUUGGUAUUUUAAAGUUAGGAAUUUCUGUAUUUGAAGACUGACUUUGGGUAGGAAGUCCUCUUGGCCACAAAUAUUCUGUAUUGUGUUAGCAUCUGACCAAUUUCACACAGACAACUUGCCUGCCUCUCUCUCUCAGAUAUAUUCCUUCACCAUUCUACAUUUCAGUGUUUUUUACAGUUGAACUAGUAAAUGUCAAGGGUUUGCUAUCUCACUAAUAUAUUGAUAGUAAUAAUCACAAGCAUUGUUGUUGAAAUUAUAGAUUGUGUGUGAAAAUCUAAGUUUCUAUAGAAACCAUAGAUGCUUAACAGAUGGAUAGAGUCCUAGAGAUUGUAUAUUUAAAUCAUCUAUCACCUUUUUUUUUUCCUUCGACUUUUAAGUUCCAGGGUACAUGUGCAGUGUAUGCAGGUUUGUUACAUAGGUAAACGUGUGCCAUGGUGGUUUGCUGCUCCAAUCAACCCAUCACCUAGGUAUUAAACCCAGGCUCCAUUAGCUCUUCUUCCUGAUGCUCUCCCUUCCCCCACCCCCACUGACAGGCCCCGUGUGUGUUGUUCCCGCCCAUGUGUUCAUGUGUUCUCAUCGUUCAGCUCCCAUUUAUAAGUGAGAACAUUCGGAAAUAACUUCCUUUUGAAAAAGGAAAAGUGAAGCCCAAAAAUGAGGACGAAAGUGAAUUGCCGGCCGGGUGCGGUGGCUGCUGCCUGUAAUUCCAGCACUUUGGGAGGCCAAGGUGGGCAGAUCACCUGGGGUCAGGAGUUCAAGACUAGCCUGGCCAACAUGGUGAAACUAAAAAUACAAAAAUUUAGUUGGACGUAGUGGCGGGCACCUGUAAUCUCAGCUACUCAGGAAGCUGAGACAGGAGAAUCGCUUGAACCCAGGAGGCAGAGGUUGCAGUGAACUGAGAUCGUGCCAUUGCACUCCAGCCUGGGCAAGAAGAGCCAAACUCCGUCUCAAAAAAAAUAAAAAUAAAAAUAAAAAAGUGACUUGCCCAAGGUAAUGUGGCUGCUACGUGUCAGAUCCAUUGACCCUAAACCAGAGUCUGAAUCAAAGACCAGGGCUCUCACAAUCUUCCAUGCUGCAUUACCUUUCUAGGGCUUCUGUUUGCUACAAUUUUAUGGCCCAUUAAUAAGCAGAAAUUUAUAUUCAGCAAUGGAUAUACAAUUAAUUGAGUAACAUAGUAUAAAUAUUGCCCAGGGAAGUAUUUAUAGGACAAUAUUUUAGAAGCUUUCAUAUCUAUAGUUAUCUAACUCUGCCAGGGCAAAGCCGAUCGUUCUGACAGACCUGGCUUGGCUUACCUAGAACUGUGAAAAUGGAAAGUUUAGUAACUUAAUGACAUUUCCAAAUGUAAAUACUGCAGUGUUUUAAAUUGCUUUAAAGGUUGAGAGGAUAGAAUCGACGCCCUUCAGGGACUCAGCCAGUCAUCAUAAGGAUUGAUGUAGAGAUAUUCUCUACUAGCAUGCAUGACGUCCACUCUGAGUGUGCGAUUCCCGUCUGAGCAGACCUUUCCACGUUGCGGUCCAAACACACCUUAGGUGAAACAUCACACAUUCAUCCACCUGUUGCCAUCCUCUCCUGCAGCAAAACCUGCCCUCAGUCUCCUCCUGUGCUGCCAACCUUCAUGAAUCAUCACCCAGCCAAUUCCAUGGCCAAACCCAGAAAUCUUCAUUGACUUUUUCCCUUCCCUUACACAUAGGCCCCUGUAAUAGAAUGAGUCCUAACUGUCACCUUUUCUUCAUCUUUUAAAGCUCUGCUAUCUCUCCAUCUAUCAGGGAUUAUUACCAUUGGUCUUCUUUUUUCCAUUCAUCCUCUGCACAACUGACAGAUUGCGUUUUCUAAGAUGAACUGUCAUCACAUCAGUGCCCAGGUUAAGUCCUUGCACAAUGCCCUGUAGCGCUGGGGGCAACAUUUCAAAUCUUCGCUUCUCAUCCCAGUGCUUCUAUGACCUUGUCUCUAAUAGACCUCAGCUGUUGCUGCUCCCCAACCAACAUGCAGGACUCUAGCCCUCUGGGACAUUUUUGACAUCUUUACCUACGUUGUGGACAUUACAAACUGGAAACCUUUCUGUACAUACAAAACUAAAAUCAUUCAUUGAAUGAUUAGUUUUUUGUUUGGUGUUUGUUUUUUACUUGAGUAAAAUAGUCAAAUUAUCGUGAAUUAGUGCUUGUAAGCUGGACCUCUGCUGUCCAAACUCAUUAAUGGUAGACCCUUUCAUUUCUUGAAUAAGAAAUUGGCACAUAUAAACAAUCUCUGAAAACAUUUGCUUAAUACGUCCAUGGGCCUCACUGAGCUGUGUCUCCUCUUCGCUUGGGAGAUUUUUCACAUCUGAUGUUUCUGAGAGCUUUAUGUUCCUGGAGCCAUCAGGAAAGGGGCUCACCCAUGAGAAAAUGAAGUUUAAACCAGAAUUUGAAUUUGGAUUUUUAUGAGUAUGGCAGAAUAUUGGAAUUCCCAUAUUUUCCACUUCUUAUUGGUUACAGUAAGCAAGAAGUUCACAGAAAACUGCAUGUUCUCACUUGUAAGUGGGAGCUAAACAUUGGGUACUUAGAGACAUAAAGAUGGUACCAGUAGACACUGGGGACUGCUGGAGCAGGAGGGCAAUGCAGCGACUCGGGGAAAGGGAAGGGGAAAAACAAACUGUUGGGUACUAUGCUCAGAGUUCAUGAGCUCACUAUGAGAUCACUUGUACCCCAAACCUCAGCAUCACACAGUACACCCAGGUAUCAAACCUGCACAUGUAUUCUUCUGAAUCUAAAAAUAAAAGUUGGAAAAAAAACAGAAACGGGAGAUGAAUAAUAUUAUGAGAUAUCUUUUACUAUGCAGUGAAAGCAUGAGUAAACACACUUCUUUUCUACAGAAUCUGGCCACCUUCUAGAUGACAUGUAUUAAAGCUACAUGGCCAAAUUCAUACUAUGAAAUUUCCCUCUAUUUCAGCAUCUCCAGGGAAAUCACUAAUAUUGGACUUGCACAAAUUAUUGCAUUAUCUCCCAUAUUUAUUCCCAAUAACUUUAAAGACAAUUAUUCUGCAAGUAUACAGACAAUUCCUGAUAAGAACAUUCCUAAGUUCACUGACACAUGAUUAUAGGGUGAUUUCUGGAAGCAUCCUACAGGUAAGGGUGUGGAUUCACUGUUGUGUCACUGAGUUACACUGGAUGGUGAAACUCUCAACACAAGUUUCUUAAUCUCAUUUACUCUCCUGUAUUAUCUCUAAGGUUUUAGGUUCUCCCCUAUACUGACUUCAGUAAACUAUCAUACCUAAAGGCAUCCAAUUAAAAAUAAAAUAAAAUUAAAAUGUCAUGACGUUUUAGUAACUUUUAAGUAAGUUAAAGUAUACAGAUAAUAUAGUUUUAGGUUUCUUUUUAUUUCCUGAAUGAUAACAUCUCUCAUGAGCUAUGGCACUGCAAUAGCCAUUUACUAGUUCAUGCAUAUCCACUAAGAUUUAACAUGUAUUUAUCAAGUAUUUAUAUAACACUAAUGACAUCACUUAAAAGAGUUGAAUUGGCCAGGCGCGGUGGCUCACACAUCUAAUCCCAGCAUUUUGGGAGGUUGAGGAGGGUGGAUCACCUGAGGUCAGGAGUUCAAGACCAGCCUGGGCAACAUGGUGAAACCUCGUUUCUACUAAAAAUACAAAAAGUUAGCUGGGCGUGGUGGCGAGCACCUGUAAUCCCAGCUACUCAGGAGGCUGAGACAGGAGAAUCGCUUGAACCCAGGAGGUGGAGGAUGCAGUGAGCUGAGAUCACGCCAUUGCACUGCAGUCUGGGCAAUAAGAGCAAAACUCCAUCUUAAAAAAAAAAAGAGUUGAAUUUACAACAUUCUCCUCCUAGGAGUUAUUUUCUAUCAAGCAUAAUAUAAACAAUUGCUUUGGUCAUGAUUUCCCACAAAAAUGGUACUCCAUGAAAAAUGUCUGCAAAAAUUAUUACACAUUAUAAGAAAUGUGUGGACAAGGGCAUCAAGUAGGAUGAAUGAUUAGAAGAAAUGCAAACCAUGCUAAGUACAUUUCUACUGCAGGGCCUCCCUGAGUGUGUCCCACAGAACCUCUGUCCUCCCGGAAGGUCUGAGGGAAAAAGCUCCACGUCCAAAGCAUUUUAGGAAAUCUGCUAUAUCUGGCGAUUUGUUAUAUGCACUAUAACAGUUAAGCUCUGAGUCAUGAAACUUCCAAAAGAAAGACUUGCUCAGUACUGUUUAAGUGAAAAUUUUAUAUCCAUACUUAAAACACUGAAUCCCUACCUUAAAUUCCACCAAUUCAUUUAAUUCCUCCACUAUGAAAUUGUUUCUUUUUGCUUGCCUACAGUACUUUGAGCUGACUGUUCUGUUUACUGCUUUUUCCUGAUUCUCUUACUUUAAAAAAAAAAAAAAAAGUAAUGUGUAAACAUCUUAGGCUGUUUCAGCAAAUACUAGCUCUCAAAACAUGGCCACAAGCCUAAGUGGAAUUCAUCUCUGCAAACAGGGAAUAGUCAGGCCUCUUUCUUGCUUUGGUUACUUGAGUCUGGAGCACAAAGGCCACUUGCUCUGGAAUCCCUCCUGGGCCAGAACAGACAGCUUCGCUUGUAUGCAUUAUGUCUCAUAAUUCAGACAGAAAAAAAUUCCAGUCCACAUUCCUCUGGAAUCCAAAUAAGACCAAAUAUUUCAAUUUUCUGUCCUUGCAGUGGCAUCCAAUCUUGAAAAAGGUAUUCCUUCUAGCUCUUCUCCUGACACCAUCUGAGUCUGUUCUUUGCAUCCCAUCAAGUCACUCAUGUUAACCCACUAUAGUGUUGACCAGCUUUCACCAAGAGGCAGAAAACUUGAGACAGGGCAACAGCUCUGACUCGGGGGUCAGAGAAAGGAUGGAGAGGGACAAACUAUGAGUGGCUUGACUCACUGCGAACCUGAAAUACGGGGAAACUAACUAGAGAUUUUGGAGAGUUUUCUUGAAUGCCGGAUCCACAAAAAUGAACAAUAAAAGAGUGAAUAAUCGGCUUUUUAUGCAAACAGCUUUUGAAGCUGCACUGAAGCAAUUUUCUUAGUAAUAUGGGAA
RNA transcript from Homo sapiens (human), 7075 nucleotides. It is a transcript of the gene named zona pellucida binding protein, with no coding region annotated. Lineage: Eukaryota; Metazoa; Chordata; Mammalia; Primates; Hominidae. The record is from RefSeq and is marked validated. The transcript has 10 exons.